CAUUCAUCACCAUCCAAAUCAAAGAUCUUGAAGACGGUAUCCAAAAUAUUGUUGGAGAGCUCUUGUCCUGUUGCUACUUUCACAGCUCUCUUAAACUCAGCUGCAAACAAAACAAAGUAAUUCAUCAACCACGUGAAACAGUCAAAGAAAUGGUGGUUAUCAUUUUACAUUCCUACUAGCAAUGGAUGAACGACCCGUUUCUCUGCAUCCUUGGAAGCAUUUGGUGUUACCAACAUUGAAAAAUGUUACCAUUCAGACAGAAUUUAAUAAUUUAAUCAUGAAAAGCAGCAUAUGUGUAUCUGAAGCUAUUGGGAAUCUCACACAAGCUUGCACAUUCCAGCUCCUAGAAGAUGAGUUCAGGUAGGUCUUUUGUGUUUGCAAACC
Oryctolagus cuniculus (rabbit) is the source of this 384-nucleotide non-coding RNA. NCBI's taxonomy places the organism in Eukaryota, Metazoa, Chordata, Mammalia, Lagomorpha, Leporidae. The record is from RefSeq and is a predicted model, not a curated record.